Non-coding RNA from Salmo salar (Atlantic salmon), 764 nucleotides. The record is from RefSeq and is a predicted model, not a curated record. NCBI's taxonomy places the organism in Eukaryota, Metazoa, Chordata, Actinopteri, Salmoniformes, Salmonidae.
AAAAAUAUAUUUUCUUUCAUAAUUUCUUUAAACAAUUAAUUUACAAACGUUUCAGAAAAUGGAUAUAUAGCAUUUAAGAAUGAAUCUCUUAUGUUUCCCCCAUCUGAGUUCAGAGUAGAUGAGAGAUGUUAUGUUUGUCUCUGUUGUGUUGAAGACCAAUCAGCAGGAGAGACCAGCCUCCCCUGUACCCAGCUGUGUGUCCAUGAAGAGUGACUGGUCUAUGGGUGAACCUAUAGUGUUUAGAGGGGAGACUUUUCUACUGAACAAAGCUGUGUGUCCAUGAAGAGUGACUGGUCUAUGGAACGUCCUAUAGACUUUAGAGAGGGAGACUUUUCUACUGAACAAAGAAACCAACAGGAGAGAUCAGAGUCAGAGAUUCUCAGUGGUCAGUCUUCCCAGAGUCAUCAAACAGACCUGGCCUCCAUAUUCAGUUUGCUUGAAGAGAAUAUUAUUACAUUUGUGAAGAAACGAGCUGAAGAUGUUCAAGAGGAUUCUUAGUCCAGAACUCCCAGAAGGCUUUGAGAGUCAGAAGCAGGAUAAGGAAGUGGUGGGUGCUGAAGAUGAGAAGCAGGAGAGAAGUGCCAGAGAGGGGGCUCUGAAGAUCACAUUGCACGUCCUGAGGGAAAUGAACCAGAAGGAGCUUGCUGACACACUGGAGAAAUAUUCAGAUGAGCUUGCUGUGAUUUGCCAACGUGAACUCAAAUCUAAUCUAAAGAAGAAGUUUCAAUGUGUAUUUGAGGGGAUCGCUAAACAAGGAAACCCAA